AUGGAGGGACGGAGAAGGUUAUGCCAGCCUGGCGAUGGUUGUCCAGGUGGAAGGAUGUAGGUUUAUAGCUUAGGUAAAUCCGGGCUAUUUUAUACCGAGAUCUGAUAGCAAGCUGUACUUGUACAGUGAAGUGGCUGAUACCAUGCUUCCAGGAAAAGUCUCUAAGCUUCAGUUACAUAGGAAUCGUACCCGAAACCGACACAGGUGGUCAGGUAGAGUAUACCAAGGCGCUUGAGAGAACUAUGCUGAAGGAACUCGGCAAUUUGCCUCCG
RNAcentral lists this ribosomal RNA (272 nucleotides) under Conticribra weissflogii. RNAcentral describes it as "partial Bacterial large subunit ribosomal RNA". It matches the Rfam family "Bacterial large subunit ribosomal RNA", at positions 1464 to 1730 of the family's 2925-position model. Lineage: Eukaryota; Bacillariophyta; Thalassiosirophyceae; Thalassiosirales; Thalassiosiraceae. The record is from RNAcentral.